AGUGAACGCUGGCGGUAGGCCUAACACAUGCAAGUCGAACGGCAGCACAGUAAGAGCUUGCUCUUACGGGUGGCGAGUGGCGGACGGGUGAGGAAUACAUCGGAAUCUACUUUUUCGUGGGGGAUAACGUAGGGAAACUUACGCUAAUACCGCAUACCACCUACGGGUGAAAGCAGGGGAUCUUCGGACCUUGCGCGAUUGAAUGAGCCGAUGUCGGAUUAGCUAGUUGGCGGGGUAAAGGCCCACCAAGGCUACGAUCCGUAGCUGGUCUGAGAGGAGGAUCAGCCCCACUGGAACUGAACCACGGUCCAGACUACUACGGGAGGCAGCAGAGGGGAAUAUUAGACAAUGGGAGCAAGCCUGAUCCAGACAUACCGCGUGGGUGAAAAAGGCCUUCGGGUUGUAAAGCCAUUUUGUUGGGAAAGAAAAGCAGCAGGUUAAUACCCAGCUGUUCUGACGGUACCAAAAGAAUAAGCACCGGCUAACUUCGUG
RNAcentral lists this ribosomal RNA (492 nucleotides) under uncultured bacterium. RNAcentral's name for it is "partial 16S ribosomal RNA". It matches the Rfam family "Bacterial small subunit ribosomal RNA", at positions 29 to 507 of the family's 1533-position model. The record is from RNAcentral.